GUAAGGAAUAUUGGACAAUGGGCGAAAGCCUGAUCCAGCCAUCCCGCGUGCAGGAUGAAGGCCCUCUGGGUUGUAAACUGCUUUUACCAGGGAAGAAACCCCCGAGUUAUGUUGGGGUUGACGGUACCUGGGGAAUAAGCACCGGCUAACUCCGUGCCAGCAGCCGCGGUAAUACGGGGGGUGCAAGCGUUAUCCGGAAUCACUGGGUUUAAAGGGUGCGUAGGCGGCAUGAUAAGUCAGAGGUGAAAGCUUCCCGCUUAACGGGAGAACUGCCUUUGAUACUGUCGAGCUUGAAUUGGCGCGAGGCAAGCGGAAUGUGGCAUGUAGCGGUGAAAUGCUUAGAUAUGCCAUAGAACACCUAUUGCGAAGGCAGCUUGCCAGAGCUUUAUUGACGCUGAGUCACGAAAGCGUGGGGAUCGAACAGGAUUAGAAACCCCGGUAGUCC
RNAcentral lists this ribosomal RNA (445 nucleotides) under uncultured bacterium. RNAcentral's name for it is "bacterial SSU rRNA". It matches the Rfam family "Bacterial small subunit ribosomal RNA", at positions 354 to 796 of the family's 1533-position model. The record is from RNAcentral.